UCCUUGAUGGCUCAGAUGGUAAAGCAUCUGCCUACAAUGCAGGAGACCUGGAUUUGACCCCUGGUUCAGGAA
RNAcentral lists this transfer RNA (72 nucleotides) under Ovis aries (sheep). It matches the Rfam family "tRNA". From Rfam's summary of the family: Transfer RNA (tRNA) molecules are approximately 80 nucleotides in length. The record is from Rfam by way of RNAcentral. Lineage: Eukaryota; Metazoa; Chordata; Mammalia; Artiodactyla; Bovidae.